UGUUGUUUGGAGAGGAUCUAGAGCUGCCUGGUAGAGUACCAUUGCCAAAGUCUAUCUCAUAAAAAAAUAACGAUUUGCCCUUACGAGCACGUAAAAUGUCAUUACGAACUUUCGAGUUACUGAAUUCUACUUGGAUCAUCCCGUUCCUGGCACGGUAAUAGACCAGACCAGAUGAGCCAUUUAGCUCUCAACGUGCUCGCAAGCUACUCAGAUAGUCCCCCGGCGGCGGAUCUACCCUACUCCGACGGGGAGUCCCCCGGCGGCGGAAGCUCCCCCGAUACCGACGACCCGCAUUCGUGGAUGGCUGUUACAUUACCAACACUACACAUUCACCUGGUAUGCAUGUUCAUAGAUCCGCUCAAGUCCUACGCACAUUCUCACUUCAACGGGUGACCGGACGAGUGCCGAGGUCAGGCCAAAGAUUCCGGGUGGAGAUAGCUUCCGGUUCAGUGGUGCCCCGACGACCCGAAGCAGGUGCAUUCACGCGGCACGAUCUACUC
Molecule: long non-coding RNA, 500 nt
Organism: Armigeres subalbatus
Lineage: Eukaryota; Metazoa; Arthropoda; Insecta; Diptera; Culicidae
Exons: 3
Source: RefSeq, a predicted model, not a curated record